This 144-nucleotide transfer RNA is filed under the name Anopheles minimus. Its description in RNAcentral is "tRNA tRNA-Tyr". It matches the Rfam family "tRNA". Rfam says of the family: Transfer RNA (tRNA) molecules are approximately 80 nucleotides in length. Their secondary structure includes four short double-helical elements and three loops (D, anti-codon, and T loops). The record is from RNAcentral. Lineage: Eukaryota; Metazoa; Arthropoda; Insecta; Diptera; Culicidae.
CCUUCGAUAGCUCAGUUGGUAGAGCGGUGGACUGUAGAUAGUAAGGGGGGAGAGGCCUUCUGCAGAAAUGCAUCCAAGAUCACCACCUCCAGUCAAAAUAUAGUAGUAAUCCAUAGGUCACUGGUUCAAAUCCGGUUCGAAGGA